This 468-nucleotide ribosomal RNA is filed under the name uncultured bacterium. RNAcentral's name for it is "partial 16S ribosomal RNA". It matches the Rfam family "Bacterial small subunit ribosomal RNA", at positions 28 to 507 of the family's 1533-position model. The record is from RNAcentral.
GACGAACGCUGGCGGCGUGCUUAACACAUGCAAGUCGAACGGAAAGGCCCUGCUUUUGUGGGGUGCUCGAGUGGCGAACGGGUGAGUAACACGUGAGUAACCUGCCCUUGACUUUGGGAUGACUUCAGGAAACUGGGGCUAAUACCGGAUAGGAGCUCCUGCUGCAUGGUGGGGGUUGGAAAGUUUCGGCGGUUGGGGAUGGACUCGCGGCUUAUCAGCUUGUUGGUGGGGUAGUGGCUUACCAAGGCUUUGACGGGUAGCCGGCCUGAGAGGGUGACCGGCCACAUUGGGACUGAGAUACGGCCCAGACUCCUACGGGAGGCAGCAGUGGGGAAUAUUGCACAAUGGGCGGAAGCUUGAUGCAGCAACGCCGCGUGCGGGAUGACGGCCUUCGGGUUGUAAACCGCUUUCGCCUGUGACGAAGCGUGAGUGACGGUAAUGGGUAAAGAAGCACCGGCUAACUACGUG